Molecule: ribosomal RNA, 401 nt
Filed under: uncultured Methylophilaceae bacterium
Lineage: Bacteria; Pseudomonadati; Pseudomonadota; Betaproteobacteria; Nitrosomonadales; Methylophilaceae
Description: bacterial SSU rRNA
Rfam family: Bacterial small subunit ribosomal RNA
Source: RNAcentral
GACAUGUAGCGAACUUCCAGAGAUGGAUUGGUGACUCGAAAGAGAACGCUAACACAGGUGCUGCAUGGCUGUCGUCAGCUCGUGUCGUGAGAUGUUGGGUUAAGUCCCGCAACGAGCGCAACCCUUGCCAUUAAUUGCCAUCAUUUAGUUGGGCACUUUAAUGGGAACUGCCGGUGACAAACCGGAGGAAGGUGGGGAUGACGUCAAGUCCUCAUGGCCCUUAUGGCCAGGGCUUCACACGUAAUACAAUGGUCGGUACAGAGGGUUGCCAAGCCGCGAGGUGGAGCCAAUCCCAGAAAGCCGAUCGUAGUCCGGAUUGUAGUCUGCAACUCGACUACAUGAAGUCGGAAUCGCUAGUAAUCGCGGAUCAGCAUGUCGCGGUGAAUACGUUCCCGGGUCUU